UCAAGAAACUUCCACAAUGGGCGAAAGCCUGAUGGAGCGACGUCGCGUGAUGGACGAAGUGCUUCGGCACGUAAACAUCUUUUUAUGUGGGAUGAAAUUAUUGACAGUACCACAUGAAUAAGGGGCUCCUAACUCUGUGCCAGCAGGAGCGGUAAUACAGAGGCCCCAAGCGUUAUCCGGAAUCACUGGGCGUAAAGGGUGUCGAGGCGGUUGUAUUAGUCGUUCGUAAAAUCUACGAGCUUAACUUGUAGGCGGCGAACGAAACGGUACGACUUGAGGUUUGGAGAGGUGCGUGGAACUCACGGUGUAGGGGUGAAAUCCGUUGAUAUCGUGGGGAACACCAAAGGCGAAGGCAGCGCACUGGCCAAAAUCUGACGCUCACACACGAAAGCUAGGGUAGCGAAGAGGAUUAGAUACCCCCGUAGUCCCUGAGCGGGCUGGCAAGGCGCAU
RNAcentral lists this ribosomal RNA (451 nucleotides) under uncultured bacterium. RNAcentral describes it as "bacterial SSU rRNA". It matches the Rfam family "Bacterial small subunit ribosomal RNA", at positions 355 to 825 of the family's 1533-position model. The record is from RNAcentral.